Molecule: long non-coding RNA, 521 nt
Organism: Felis catus (domestic cat)
Lineage: Eukaryota; Metazoa; Chordata; Mammalia; Carnivora; Felidae
Exons: 3
Source: RefSeq, a predicted model, not a curated record
GGGGCGGGGUCACAAACACGUGAAUGCGCCCACUUCUGGCUGGUCCCAAGUGUCAGCCUCCAGGUCUCAUUGGCUACUCUGUAGAGCGGAAGGGGCGGAGUCGUCUCCGGCUGGUCUCGCACGUGGGGCUCUGGGUUGCAGAUGGGCCGAGUUCCCAGACUGAGGAUUGGCUGAGAUCUCGGGAGAGCAGAAUUGCAGCGAGGGUCCACUGGUGGUCGUGAUCGUUGUGUUCCUCUCUGUGGUUCAUGAGUGUAAGACUUCCCAGAGCUGAUUCCUGUUACAGCAUCUCAGAAAAAUACUAAUCAGCAAUAACUCUGAUGGGUGAUGAAGACAGCUUCAGGAAAGAGUAGGAGUUUACCAAGAUGAGAACAACACAGGAUUUCAGGGCAAGCCCCGGGGCCAUGCUCCCACCUCUGGUCUGACUUCAAGACUGCACUCUCCACUGAAACCCCUGGGGCCCAGUCCUGCUCAUCGUCCCCUUUCAAGGGCACUUACAGGGCCAAAGCCACCACCGGCGCCCA